RNAcentral lists this ribosomal RNA (373 nucleotides) under uncultured organism. Its description in RNAcentral is "bacterial SSU rRNA". It matches the Rfam family "Bacterial small subunit ribosomal RNA", at positions 526 to 896 of the family's 1533-position model. The record is from RNAcentral.
CGGGGGAGGCAAGCGUUGUUCGGAUUUACUGGGCGAAAGGGCGCGUAGGCGGUCAGCACAAGUCAGUUGUGAAAUCUCCGGGCUUAACUCGGAAAGGUCAACUGAUACUGUGCGACUAGAGUGCAGAAGGGGCAACUGGAAUUCUCGGUGUAGCGGUGAAAUGCGUAGAUAUCGAGAGGAACACCUGCGGCGAAGGCGGGUCGCUGGGCUGACACUGACGCUGAUGCGCGAAAGCCAGGGGAGCGAACGGGAUUAGAUACCCCGGUAGUCCUGGCCUUAAACGAUGGAUGCUUGGUGUCUGGAGUUUUAUAGUCUCCGGGUGCCGUAGCUAACGCGUUAAGCAUCCCGCCUGGGGAGUACGGUCGCAAGAUUG